This 468-nucleotide ribosomal RNA is filed under the name uncultured bacterium. RNAcentral's name for it is "partial 16S ribosomal RNA". It matches the Rfam family "Bacterial small subunit ribosomal RNA", at positions 28 to 507 of the family's 1533-position model. The record is from RNAcentral.
GACGAACGCUGGCGGCGUGCUUAACACAUGCAAGUCGAACGGAAAGGCCCUGCUUUUGUGGGGUGCUCGAGUGGCGAAAGGGUGAGUAACACGUGAGUAACCUGCCCUUGACUUUGGGAUAACUUCAGGAAACUGGGGCUAAUACCGGAUAUGAGCUCCUUCUGCAUGGUGGGGGUUGGAAAGAUUCGGCGGUUGGGGAUGGACUCGCGGCUUAUCAGCUUGUUGGUGGGGUAGUGGCUUACCAAGGCUUUGACGGGUAGCCGGCCUGAGAGGGUGACCGGCCACAUUGGGACUGAGAUACGGCCAAGACUCCUACGGGAGGCAGCAGUGGGAAAUAUUGCACGAUGGGCGGAAGCCUGAUGCAGCAACGCCGCGUGCGGGAUGACGGCCGUCGGGGUGUAAACCGCUUUCGCCUGUGACGAAGCGUGAGUGACGGUAAUGGGUAAAGAAGCACCGGCUAACUACGUG